This is a long non-coding RNA of Helicoverpa armigera (cotton bollworm), 388 nucleotides long. RefSeq lists it as uncharacterized. NCBI's taxonomy places the organism in Eukaryota, Metazoa, Arthropoda, Insecta, Lepidoptera, Noctuidae. The record is from RefSeq and is a predicted model, not a curated record. The transcript is spliced from 2 exons.
CGUCGCACGCAUUUCAAAUUCCAGCUAAUCUCAGUCGAACCAACGCUCGCGCGGCACACGGGUGUAUUUUUUGUGUAGUGGCCCUGUGCUCGCCGUUCCAGCCACCAUGAGUCGUCGAAUCGACGAAGAUACGAUUCGUCACCUGUUAUGUGAUGAUAAUAGUGACGAAGAAACUUCUACUUCUACACAUGAGCCUGAUCAAAGAGAAGAUGCCGAUAAUCUUUCUAUGCCUAAAAAAAGAAAACUUUGUGCAAUUUGCCCCUCCGCAAGACGAAGAAUCACAAAGAGUCGUUGCACUAAGUGCAACAAAUCCUUGUGUGGCGAACACAAACUUGACAUUUGUCACAAAUGUAUUAAUUGAUAGUUUUUUUAUAAAAUGUUGUUUUCU